GGGGCGCGCUGCUAUACAUGCAGUCGAGCGGACAGAUGGGAGCUUGCUCCCUGAUGUUAGCGGCGGACGGGUGAGUAACACGUGGGUAACCUGCCUGUAAGACUGGGAUAACUCCGGGAAACCGGGGCUAAUACCGGAUGCUUGUUUGAACCGCAUGGUUCAAACAUAAAAGGUGGCUUCGGCUACCACUUACAGAUGGACCCGCGGCGCAUUAGCUAGUUGGUGAGGUAACGGCUCACCAAGGCAACGAUGCGUAGCCGACCUGAGAGGGUGAUCGGCCACACUGGGACUGAGACACGGCCCAGACUCCUACGGGAGGCAGCAGUAGGGAAUCUUCCGCAAUGGACGAAAGUCUGACGGAGCAACGCCGCGUGAGUGAUGAAGGUUUUCGGAUCGUAAAGCUCUGUUGUUAGGGAAGAACAAGUACCGUUCGAAUAGGGCGGUACCUUGACGGUACCUAACCAGAAAGCCACGGCUAACUACGUGCCAGCAGCCGCGGUAAUACGUAGGUGGCAAGCGUUGUCCGGAAUUAUUGGGCGUAAAGGGCUCGCAGGCGGUUUCUUAAGUCUGAUGUGAAAGCCCCCGGCUCAACCGGGGAGGGUCAUUGGAAACUGGGGAACUUGAGUGCAGAAGAGGAGAGUGGAAUUCCACGUGUAGCGGUGAUAUGCGUAAAGAUGUGGAGGAACACCAGUGACGAAGGCGACUCUCUGGUCUGUAACUGACGCUGACGAGCGAAAGCGUGCGGAGCGAACCGGAUUACAUACCCUGGUAGUCCACGCCGUAAACGAUGACUGCUAAGUGUUAGGGGGAUUCUCGCCCCUUAUUGCUGCAGCUAACGCAUUAACCACUACGGCCUGGGGCAGUACGGUCUGAGGGACUGAAACUCCAAAGGAAAUUGACUGUUGACCCGCUAAAACCCGGUGG
RNAcentral lists this ribosomal RNA (924 nucleotides) under Bacillus subtilis. RNAcentral describes it as "bacterial SSU rRNA". It matches the Rfam family "Bacterial small subunit ribosomal RNA", at positions 39 to 937 of the family's 1533-position model. Lineage: Bacteria; Bacillati; Bacillota; Bacilli; Caryophanales; Bacillaceae. The record is from RNAcentral.